AUGUUGGUAAGGACAGUUCUCAAGGCAAUAUGGGAGCCCUUGAAAAGAGCUCCUCAGAACCUGGAAGGACCAACUGUCUACAUCUUCCCCCCCAAGCCCAAGGACACACUCAUGAUCUCCCUGGUCCCCAAGAUUACAUGUGUUGCAGUAGAUGUGAGCCAGGAUGAUCCUGAGGUCCAGUUCACAUGGUUUAUAGAUAACACACAGGUUAACACAGCUGCGACGAUUUCCCGAGAAGAGCAAUUCAACACCACUUUCCGUGUGGUCAGUUCCCUCCCCAUCCAGCACCAGGACUGGCUGAAGGGCAAGGAGUUCAAGUGCAAGGUCAACAACAAAGCUCUGCCAGCCCCCAUUGAGAGGACCAUCUCCAAAGCCAAAGGCUCACUCCGUGUGCCAGAAGUGUAUACCCUGCCCCCAUCCCGAGAGGAGCUGUCCAAGGACAAAGUCACUGUGACUUGCCUGGUCACUGGCUUCUAUCCUGCUGACAUUGAUGUGGAGUGGAUGAACAAUGGAAACCCAGUGAGCGAGGAAAGCUACAGGAACACCCCAGCUAUCGGUGACAGUGACGGGACCUUCUUCCUCUAUAGCAAGCUCAGAGUGGAAAGCAACAAGUGGAACCGAGGAAGCAUCUACACCUGCACCGUGAUGCACGAAGCUCUGCACAAUCACGUCACUCAGAAGACCAUCUCCCGGUCUCCGGGUAAAUGA
Non-coding RNA from Octodon degus (degu), 708 nucleotides. The record is from the annotation of a RefSeq genome assembly. Lineage: Eukaryota; Metazoa; Chordata; Mammalia; Rodentia; Octodontidae.